UGAAACAUCUAAGUACCCGGAGGAAGAGAAAGCAAAUGCGAUUCCCUGAGUAGCGGCGAGCGAAACGGGACCAGCCCAAACCAAGAGGCUUGCCUCUUGGGGUUGUAGGACACUCUGUACGGAGUUACAAAGGAACGAGGUAGAUGAAGAGGUCUGGAAAGGCCCGCCAUAGGAGGUAACAGCCCUGUAGUCAAAACUUCGUUCUCUCCUGAGUGGAUCCUGAGUACGGCGGAACACGUGAAAUUCCGUCGGAAUCCGGGAGGACCAUCUCCCAAGGCUAAAUACUCCCUAGUGACCGAUAGUGAACCAGUACCGUGAGGGAAAGGUGAAAAGCCCCCCGGAAGGGGAGUGAAAGAGAUCCUGAAACCGUGUGCCUACAAGUAGUCAGAGCCCGUUAACGGGUGAUGGCGUGCCUUUUGUAGAAUGAACCGGCGAGUUACGAUCCCGUGCAAGGUUAAGCAGAAGAUGCGGAGCCGCAGCGAAAGCGAGUCUGAAUAGGGCGAAUUGAGUACGUGGUCGUAGACCC
Molecule: ribosomal RNA, 526 nt
Filed under: Bacillus velezensis
Lineage: Bacteria; Bacillati; Bacillota; Bacilli; Caryophanales; Bacillaceae
Description: bacterial LSU rRNA
Rfam family: Bacterial large subunit ribosomal RNA
Source: RNAcentral